CGUUCUUCUUCUAUCUCUGCGAGCCCGGGAGGUGAAAAGCUAAGGAAAGCCUGCUCCUAUCCCCAUUUUUACACAAGGUUCUAGAAUCUGCCAGGGACCAACCUGCUUAAACCUGUCUCGGCAUAAUUAUGAACACCUCCCUUUGUUCUGCAAAGGGACAGCUGGACAGUGGAUUAUAUAGUCCUCCGAGGUACAGAGGACAUCGCAUUCAUUCCAGCCGCGUUCUUUCCAGAUGUGCAGAGAGCCUGGUGAGGCUGGAGAGGCGGAGGGUGAGAAAGGGAAGUGACUCGUCCACGCUCACCCGGUGAUUCAAUAGUAGAGCAAGUAAUGAGAAUCCAAGAGCUUUGACUAAGGAGCGAAUCACCCCUGACCCCGCCCUGCUAAAGGAAUAGAACGGACACAAACUGGUUGAAACAGCACCGGUGCCAAGAUUUUUCGUCGCCUCCUGUGUUGGCACUGGAGUCCUUUGAGGUAGCAUCUUUCCGUGUGCCUCAGCCGCACAGGAAACUUCCUGAUGCUGAGUGUGCCCUCACAAGGGGUAGAGGCAGAGAAGUCAACUUCUUGGCAGCCUCAUGGAAUAACAGGUUCACCCGGUUGCAGUGGAAGGAGUAGUCUUAUGUAGAAUCUGCUGUCCUCUUAGAAGGCGCCAGGAGAGCAAGUGACCAAGCUGAACCACAGAAUUGCAUUAAAAUUUCUGCUUAUAAUGGCAUGUAUCACGUCUGUUCACAUGUCUGUCAAAGUCAAUCACAUGAUCAAGCUGGACAACGAAGGGGGAAGUAUACUUGACCUAUAAGGAGUUCUGACACAGGUAAGGAUAUGUAAUCCUUUAAU
This is a long non-coding RNA of Lutra lutra (Eurasian river otter), 831 nucleotides long. RefSeq lists it as uncharacterized. The transcript is spliced from 4 exons. The record is from RefSeq and is a predicted model, not a curated record. NCBI's taxonomy places the organism in Eukaryota, Metazoa, Chordata, Mammalia, Carnivora, Mustelidae.